Molecule: long non-coding RNA, 387 nt
Organism: Anas platyrhynchos (mallard)
Lineage: Eukaryota; Metazoa; Chordata; Aves; Anseriformes; Anatidae
Source: RefSeq, a predicted model, not a curated record
UGUGGGAGAAAACAUAGCUCAAACACAUCUUGUUUUAAAGUUCUUGUUUUGCUCUGUAUCCAAAUGCUGUUUGAUUCUCACCUAAAUAGCAGGAUAAAUUAGGACUGCAGACUUUAAAAGUUUAGUCUGGACUAUUUCUUGCUGCAUAAAGCUGCCACCACAUUUGGAUUUGAGGGCAAUGGGACAAUGUUCGGUUUCCCUACUAAUAACUCCAGGUCUUGGUGACCUUCGAUCUUCGAUUCCAGAGACUGUAAGGGGUUUUGCUGGAGCUGCCUCUGGAGUACAACCCUGACAGCUUUAAACCUUUUUUUGUGCUUCUGCAAGAAAACAGCAAAGUUAAUUGAGAAAGUAGGGCAAAUUGGCAAAUACAGAGCUGAUGAUAUUCCA